RNAcentral lists this long non-coding RNA (3285 nucleotides) under Homo sapiens (human). RNAcentral describes it as "HSALNT0403968". Lineage: Eukaryota; Metazoa; Chordata; Mammalia; Primates; Hominidae. The record is from RNAcentral.
GGAAGAGAAGAGGGUGUUAGCAGGAGCUUCCUGGAGGGGAUGAAGUGGGACUUGAGCUGAGGCUAGACACUGAGCAGAGCAAGAGAGAAUCCAUGGCCUAACAGAGGGCCAAUGGCCUGCACCAAAUUGCAGUAAGGAUCCAAGUAAAUUCUAGUGGGCAAGAGGAAGAGAAGAGAAACUACAACAUCAUUAUCUUACUGCUGGAGGCAGCAGAUUACGGACCCCUGACUGUGAUGUGUCAAAUGCACUGUGUGACAACCAAGACCCUACACAUCUGGGGGGCACUUCAGGAUUCCUCCAGGCGGCAGUUGCUGGCCUAGACUCACUUCUUCAGGAGGGAGGUUCGCCCUGGAAAAGCUGAUUUGCAUUUCUGCUGGGAUCGAUGCCGUGGAGACUGAAUACAUUGAGGUCUCCAGGUGAAAGAAGAAAGCUUAACCUGGCUUCUGAAUUCCAAGAGCACACGGCAAAGUGACUCACUGGAGGAACAGAUUCAUUGAAUGAGGAAAACCAAACAAAUACUGACAUGCAAGCAAAUACUUCAAAAAUAAUGAGGACAUUGAAAUUCUAGCUCCUGUUAUGGAUGUAGACUAUCCCAGAAGACUAGAAGCCUGCGCUCCCAAAUGAAAUAACCAAUUCCAAGACUGCUUGAAGGACCUCUCUGGACUGUCCACAUGUUGAUUCCUCAACCUGGAAGACUCGUCCAUCCCUUGUCUGUCUGUCUUCAUCAAACAGGAAUUUAUUCUUCAAAACCUAGAUCUGUCACUCACUCUUUUAUAAACACUUUCUUGAACUAAUCACUUCCUCCCUACCUGUCUUUGGAAUCUUAUAAAAGCAUCCCUUCGGGAACAUGUGAUGUUUCUUAUGAAUUCUUCUCACAUCUGUAUUUCAUAGUAGAGUGAAGCCACCACAUUCUUCUUUCUGUUAACAACACCUCACACGGUAACCAGGGCACAAUAGAUGCCUCAUGGUGUUUCUUACACUGAAUUGCACUCACCUUGAACUUACAUUACUAUAAUAGUUCAUUCUCCUUCCAUAGACACUUUCUUAUGUUGACCCCAGUUCUACCUCUCUUUACCUUCCACUCACUGGUCCUAUUUUGUCCCUUUGGGACAACACAGAAUAAGCCUAUUUCCUCUUCAAAUAAGGCCCUAUGCAAAAUGCAGGCACCUUUUAUGACAUGCAUAGUGAAAAAACCUUCAACCUGUUCUCAUAUGAUAUGUUUCUGGGACCAUUCACCUGUCCAUGGGCACACACUCUGGUGCAUCACUGGGACCAUUCACCUGCUCUACUGCACCACUUCCUCCACAAGUAUGGUGGCCAGAACAAGAGCCCAUAGGGUAGAUGUCAACUGACCAUUGAGUAGCACAAGACAUCACGCUUCUGUUAGAACAAGCUAUGAUUAUAUCGGGGUCUUUUUAGCAAACCAUAUCACACUACUCACUUCGAUCACGUUCAGUUUAUCCUAAAUCAUGGAUAGUCAUUGUGUUACUAUACUGUCUCAUAAGUACAUGUUAAAAAUUUGAGAGAUUAAAAAAAAAAUUGUCUUACAUCAUUCUCCAGAUAUGGCUGAAAGUCAUCUGGCUGUGGCAAAUAGGGCUACACUGGCAAUCUGGUUAUUAGUCUUGAAAAGUGUUCUAAUCGUGAAUUAUCACAUUCGCAAGGUUGAUAAUAUACUAUAAGGAGUAAGGCUGAGGCUGGGGAUUCUCCACAGAAACACACUGGGACAGAUCUGUCCAUGAUUAAGAGAAGGAAAUAUGUCCCAGACCAACUGGCAAAUGGUUGCUUCCCUCAUCCUCCAAGUCUCUAAACAAAGAGCCUCCAAGAACCUGCUCAGUCUCUACGGCCAGAGUCCAUUCUGACUGGACAAUAAUGCUGGUGCCUUUACAGUUCUUCAGUCUUAGCAGUUGUUAAAUAUUUUGAUCACCCUCUUUUCUUCUGAACCGAGAGGGGAUUUUACUAAUGGCCUUCAAGUACACAAAUGACUGUCUGAGUGAAUCAUGGCCAAUUAAUCUCCAAAUCCACAGGGAAGAAAACAAAAGGAAAUGAGUACAACUGUAGCAAGGACUUAGCAUGGACUGACAGGGGUGUGGGAGAGUGACACCGGGUGCUCCUAUUCUCCCAUUUGGACAGACUUUAUAAGCCAGAUGGAGCCCCACAGAUCUGGUGGCUAAAGCCCAAGCCUGUCUGAGAAUGACUUUGCGUGGUUUCUCAGGGUCUGGGAUCCUCCAGGCAAAAAGUCAGAGGGAAAGGGCCAUGUGUGGGAGGAACCAUUAUCUAAUAUUAGUCUUUUGACUCUUGUAAGAACUGAAACAAAUGAUCAUUUACUGGUAUCUUGCACCAAAUCAGUCUGGAGAAGAGAAACUAUCAGAUGUUUCAACUCAACAGCUGCACAUCAAAAAUAGUAUUUGAGACACCAGGAGCCCUGUGGCAUGAAUGCCAGAAGCAAGUCUAGUAUGUUGGGGGCUCUGAAGUUUCUUGUUCCUGGAAUGAAAGGAGACAGUAUUGCUGGCCACAGGCACAGUGUCAAUGUACUCCUAGUUGCAGUCACACUACUUUUGUAUGUUUUGUUUGUACAUGUAUAUACACACAUGUAUGCAUACAAGCACUCAAACACAAACGAUGGUUAAGAAAAAUACAUGCUAAACAGCCAGUCAUCCACCUUCCAAAAAUCUCUCCAGCAGGAUCCUUUGGGUCUCAUUCUUUUCUAAACCAACUCAUUAGGAAACUCACACACAAAAAACAAGAACUACUUCUAUGAACCUCUAAUUUUGCAUAUGAUACAGGCAUUUCUAUCAGGUGUUAUGCCAUAAAUUAGACAAAAUGUGGUUGAUAAUUUAAGAAACGUGAUUUCCGUACACAUGCUACUAUUGGUAUCCCUAGGCUGAAAUCAUGUUGCCAUGAGCCAGGAUGGAUAUACUAGUUGUUCUAUAGCCAGCAUCUGUUCUGAUUGGAUGGCAUCCAGAUUGUGCAGAUUGAUAAAUAUUUUGAACAUCGUUCCCAGUUAUCAUGGGCUUGUGGUUGAGAAAUACCACCAUAAACACAAGAAGAAAGGUCGUUGUGUUCUCUGCCUUGGAAAACACAGUUGCUUUCUGGAGAGACUGGCUGCUCCGUUGAUAUUAUUUUCUUCUGCUCACCAGUGACUGUUGAAAAAUAUUCUGUGUGAUUAGAAUCUAGAACGCUAUUGAUUUUUGUCUGGUCUUUCAUGAUAUUUAUAAUUUCCUCAUUUAUGUUUGAGAUUAAAAAAUCUUUAGCUAACAUCAAUAAAAUACAUUAUUGCUAUUAAAA